UCUCUUUUUUGCCUGGAAUCUCUAAAAGCUGUGUAGGCUGUGAAAGAGUUUCACAGAUUCCGAUGAAGGGCAAUCACUAACCAUAAAUGGCAACUUCAUUUACACAUCUUCAGCUGCCACUGACUCGGGAGAUUUGUCAUCCCAUCUUCUAAUUUAGUGAAGGUUCAAGAAAUUUACUUGAGUGGCUCUGAGCUCGUUUAUCACUGCAAUAUGACCCAUACCGAGCUCUACAGAUAACAAAGUACUAAAAUUCCUCUGGUGUGAAAAAGAAGAGAGACACCUUAAAAACCACAGCAGCAGGAAAACAGACAGAGACAGUAAGUCUUAAUUAGAGCAGCUGCCAUCUGCCUGCACACUUUCUGCCUCACGUAAAGUUUCACAGAGCCUCUGGAAUGCCUUCUCCAGGCAGCGGCUGGUACGAUCCUACCUCCCUUCAUUCCCCAGGCAGGGAGUUAAGAUACAUCCUGUCAGCAGGUCUGGCUAACAAACUAUAAAUAAAACACGAGGCACACAUAGCAAGGCAAGACUAAAUUUUUCCUUUUAUUUCCAGAUAAAUUUAGUAUACAGUUGUCAAAACAACCACAACCCCUGGAUGCUUAAGGAUCUGUCCUGUGCAGCAGGGGAUGAGACACUCCAGUGCUCCAUUGCCACAGACUGGGCACACUGCAGCCAAAUGGGAGUGUACAAAACCAACCCGGUUCCUGCCCUUGGAACAAUUCCCUACCUAAGGCACCUUGUUUUUCUAUGCAAAUACAUGCUUCGAGUCGUUUCUCCCUGUUGCCAACAGUAAGAGACUAUCCCAGCUUUCCAGGAAACAAAACAGAGGAAUUUCACCAAUUAAGAACAACUGUUCAUUUUUGGUGGUUUUGAAGAGAACCAAAACCUGUCAAAACACCACUUUUGGUUACAGGGAGAUAGCUCACAGCCUGUUUCUCACAGAGGCUAUCCAGCACCCUGGGAUCAUGUGCACAUCCCUUAAUGCAAGGACUGACACUGUAGUCAAGACAUUCUCCAUCUGCUCAUCCAUUUUGAGGGGGAUUCCAGGCUUUCAGCAUAGCUGGUGGUGCCUGCUAUCACAGAUCAUCCCUCACCUCAUCCUGCUGCACCAGGUGGAGAAAGUUUGUCCUCUUAUUUAUCAAAUCCUCUGCAAACAAAUGUGUCUUCUCAUUAGAGUUCAGGAUAUAUGGACAAAUAUGCCCUGGUGCAAAAAAAAGGAAUGCUGAGGACAGGUGCUUAAGGUUAAACCGGUCUACAUUCUUCUGGGGAACAGAAGUGAAAAAUUAAACACUAGAAAAUAAAUGGUCAGCUCUUCAGGGAUCAGCAUGCACAGAAGUGCAGAUCACAGUUAAUAUCUAACUACAGUGCUCUGCAUUUCUUGUAGUGCCAUGGUUAUAACAUCACUCCAGCUUCACAUCCACCUUUUAAACUCGGCCAAGAAAUACAAAUGGAACAGGCACCAAGACCCAAAACUGCAGAGCUAAAAUGGACUUUACAUACAGAUAAUUUAAUCCACUAAUUGGCCCCACUAGAGUCACUGUAUCAUAUUCUGCAACUCCAUUUAAAAACUCCUCCAUGAAUCAGGCUGCUUUCAGCACUACUGCUUUGAUUGCAGUAAUUGCAAAAGAAUCUUCUUCCCAUGCUGGAGCUCCAUGUAGGGCUUUAAAAUACUUCACUGCCCAGGAAAGAGGGAGUCACAACAUGGAAGCACUCCAUAUUGAAGGACUGGUUUGGAAAUAAAAGCACAGGAUAAAGGUGGAGAAGCACAGGGAGCUGCCACCCUUCAAUGCAUACAAACUGUCUGCACUUAGUGUGACAUCUAAAGGAAAGGGAGAUCCAUCCAUCAUCUCAUCACAAACCAGACUCAGUGUAACACCAGACACUGGGCUAAAUGCAAGGUCUGAAGAAACAGCAGCUGGAUGGCUGGCACUGAACCAUUUACACAUUACCUGACAGGUUUUUAAGUCUCCAAGGACUACGCCCCUAUCAGCCAGGGAAAGUUUAGACCUUGGGAAUAUACUCUCUGAAUUAUUGUGACAUCCCCUCUGAAAUAUGAGAACCUGUGGGAAAAGCUGGCAAUAACUACAGCUCUCAAGAAACAACCCUCUGCAUUUGUAGCAAUGGUACUCCUGCACCUCAGAAAAUAUACCCUUGACCUGCCACAGAGAAAGAUUUUUCCCAAUUUCCUCGAGAAGAAUGGGAAACGUUGCCACCCUGGCCUUUGUUGUGUGUCUGAAGAGCAGGCAGCAGUGGCAGAAGGCAGCUCCUAGGGAAGGCUUCCACUUUUCACAAGGUGUUUAUUUUCCCUGUGGACAGGGCACAAGGAGCUCAGUGCUGGUGUGAGGAGUGGAAGGGGAUGGAUGGCUGGAGCAGGAAGCUCCCCACAUGCUGCCUGCUCCAGCCAGCCAUGGAGAACAGGUUGGGAUGUAUGCAUUCCUGCGGUGCCUGUAGCCAUUAUGAUGACAGAGCACAUUCCAUUUUCCUGCUCAGUGUCCUGUUCACUGCUGGGUGAUCUUGACACCAUCACAGCACAGAAAAGCUUUCAAGUCCUGAUUCCAAUGAAGAUCUUCCUGAGAAGAGGAAGAAAGCUGUGAUCUCAGUACUGAGGCAACUUUUGAAACUACAACUAUGGACAGAAACAGGAGGGGCAGAAGCAGCCACCCUCAGCUCCCAGAUCUGUGCCAGUGAGCAUACUCAGACAGCUCUUCAAGAAUGGCAACCCUCAACAUCACUCACUGGAAUGAGACUACUACAUCCAUUUCCCAAUAUCUGGGCUUCCAAGUGCAAAAAAUUUACCCUUUCCAUGACAACUGGAACACUGCCUGCUUUGUUAUCCUGAUCAUAUUCAUCUUCACUGUAGUUUUCCUGGUGGUGCUGGCUUUCCUGUAUGAGCUGCUGGACUGCUGCUGCUGUGCGAAAAACAAAACUGUGAAAGACUUGGAGAACGAGCCCAAUCCCGUCAGGGCAAUGAUGAACAGCUUCAGGAAGCGUGAGACAGAGGUGGUGUAGGAAGCACUGAGCACCUGCACUUGGAGAACUUGGUUUGACACCACCAAUGAAGCCUCUUGCACCUUACAAACUAACAAGUCAUGUGUUUUUUUCUUUUGGACUUAAAUAUCCACGGUUGCAAUUUUAUCUCGGGAUGUGAGCUGGAAUAAUUGGCAAAGGCUUUCCAAGUGCUUAGCAGAAAGACAAUCUGUUGCAGUGUUAUGGGAGGGGAAAAAGAUUUUUGGUUUUAGAUGAACUUUUGCUGUUUAUAUUGAGUGACUAGCAUAGAAUUUUGUCUACCUGACCGAACAAAUGUUGCCUAAUAUGCAUAAAAUGGUGUUGCUUAACCGAAGAAAACGUUUAUAAAAUGUUCAACAGUCUGAUCACAUUCAGUGCAAAGACAGCAGUGUUGUCCCAUUGAGUCAACCACACAGGGACAGGAUAGAGAAGGGGUAAGAAAAAAGUUGGGAGAGAAGGGUUGAAUGGCAAGAGACCCUUCAGGCAGGAGAGGAUGGGGUGAAUUCUAGCCUUUGGCAGCAUUUUUUAUUAUGGGUUUCUUGCUUUUACAAGAGAGGGAGGUGGGAGGAAACUAAGCCAACAAGAAAUGUACUCCUAAAAUGGUCUUUUCUAGUCCUCCUAAGGGGAGUUUGACCCUUUCUUCCCCCACUUCUCCAGUUCCAGGGAACUGUUCUCCCCUUACUUCAUAUGCAGUCUGACCAACAAUUUCUGGGUGUUGAGACCUGUGUAACCCAUUACCUUCAGAAUAUCUGACCCUUUCCAAAAGUCCUGCUGGAAAUGAACAGGGACAAUUCUCUGCCCCAAGGCUGCUGCUUCUGUGGCAACCACAACACUACAGGGAGUUGGACAUGCUGGAUCUAUCAUCCCUACCCCAGUCUUUCAAAGCAAACUGGAACUGAUGCAGUUCUUGCCAAGAAUGCAGGGAGAUGUGCCACAGACCUCCCCCACUGAAGAGGGGGAUGCCACCCGGCCCACGGGCAGCUUUCAGGUGCCAACAUGUUUCACAGAGGAGGCCACACCAGGAUCAGCCCUGUGCUAGAGAGGGCAGCUUCACUUUGGAAAAGAGAAUCUCCCUCGACUUCAUCUGCCUGCUGACACACCCCAGAGCUCACACUCACCCCCUCCUCAUGUCCUGACCACAGAACUCUCACACCUCUGCCUCACCAGCCCUCUGCAGCUGUGUUGUGCCUGUGAUUUUCAAAACCAUUCAAGUUUUGCAGUUAACAACUGACAACUGUAAUAACAGUGUCCAACAGCGCGGCCAUCAGCAACUCCUGGCAAGUCCUUCACACUCCUGAACCCACAGAGAAACGCUCUAGAGCAAAGCUACACGUGGGACAAGUUAUUUAACUGUAUUAACCCCAGAAAACAUUCCUGCCAUGAAGGAAACAAAACCCACCUAAACAGCCACAGCCAUAAGUGACCUCACAGUCCAUCCAUGCCCAAAAAAAUCUUUGUGCUAAGGCCAGUACCUAUAAUGAUCUCUUUUUUUAUAUAUAUGAAAUCCCUCUCAGGCUGACUAAGCUCCAGAAGAACUGGACACAAUGGAAGACUUGCUAAUUGACACGUGCUGCUCCUGGUUGGUGAGAUGGAGUCACUCAGGGCACUGCAAACAAGCACAGCUAGUCCAGUGAUUCACCUGGAAGCAAACUCCCUCCUGCAGUCACAGAUCCUCACAACCAUUCGUCUCACACACGCUUCUCACAGUGAGGUUUGGCCAGGACCAGCCCCCCGUGCAGAGAAUGCUUCAAGCUCAAAAUGAAAAGCACAACUGAUGGAAGCCAACGCUCCAAGAACAAGAUAAUUCAGGACUCACACCAAGACAUACAAUGAAGACAAUGUCAGUGGUGAUAACGAAGACACCUUACCCUCUGCUCUAUGUGACAGCAUCAAAUUGGAAAGUUCUGCUCAAGGGGCCAGAGUAGCCAUUGGGAUGCACUGAAUUAAUUAAUGUCUCUUUCCUAAAAGCAAAUGCUCUGGACACUUCCAGCAUUCCCACAAAACGCCCAUCAUGGCUGCACACAAGAGAGCAGCAUGUGCAACGUGCCAGCCUCUGCUGCCCUGGCAAUGCCUUCCCGAGAAGCACACGGAAUGACAAACCUUGGGACUUAUCCCAGCUUUUUAUUUCACAGCUCUGCAAAGGGGGAUGGGUGAGGGCACAAGGAACAGAAGACAAAGGUGUCCCCUUGCACAGUACCAGAGAAGACUCAGGAUGAUUCUUUCCCACAAAACAGCCCCUGAAGAUUUCAGCUCUUGACUACUGUUGGUGGAGACCACUGAGACAAAGGUCUUAGUCUUUGUCUAGCAACAAUUACUAUUGAUU
Molecule: RNA transcript, 5326 nt
Organism: Oenanthe melanoleuca
Lineage: Eukaryota; Metazoa; Chordata; Aves; Passeriformes; Muscicapidae
Gene: SMIM18
Gene name: small integral membrane protein 18
Exons: 4
Source: RefSeq, a predicted model, not a curated record